Molecule: transfer RNA, 73 nt
Filed under: Podarcis lilfordi (Lilford's wall lizard)
Lineage: Eukaryota; Metazoa; Chordata; Lepidosauria; Squamata; Lacertidae
Description: tRNA.Lys
Rfam family: tRNA (bases 7-62)
About the family: Transfer RNA (tRNA) molecules are approximately 80 nucleotides in length.
Source: RNAcentral
UUUUUUGCUCAGUUGGUAGAGCAUGAGACUCUUAAUCUCAGGGUUGUGGGUUCGAGCCUCACGUUGGGCAAAA